This 252-nucleotide ribosomal RNA is filed under the name uncultured bacterium. RNAcentral describes it as "partial 16S ribosomal RNA". It matches the Rfam family "Bacterial small subunit ribosomal RNA", at positions 525 to 776 of the family's 1533-position model. The record is from RNAcentral.
ACGUAGGUGGCGAGCGUUAUCCGGAAUUACUGGGCGUAAAGGGCACGCAGGCGGUUGAACAAGUUUGGCGUGAAAGCUCCCGGCUUAACUGGGAGAGGUCGUUGAAAACUGUUCAGCUUGAGGCAAUGAGAGGGGUACGGAAUUCCAGGUGUAGUGGUGGAAUGCGUAGAUAUCUGGAGGAACACCAGUGGCGAAAGCGGUACCCUGGCAUUGACCUGACGCUCAUGUGCGAAAGCGUGGGGAGCGAACGGG